AAAAAAAAAAAAAAAAGAAAUGCAACUGAAAUAUUUAAAUCUAAAUAUAAAAGCUAUUUUUAAAUGGCUGAAAUUAUUCUCUUCCCCCUUGUUCUCAGAGCUGCAUAUACUUAUAGCAGUUAUUGAAUGAAAACUUAAAAUACAUGGAAUUAAAAAUUAUAUUAUUAACAUAGAAUAUGUGGAAAUAAAUAUAACACUGUGAUUCACAGAACUGGCUGUACUAUCUUAUGAAUCUGCAACAAAUUGUCUGUAUCAAAAUUUCUUAGUCUGUAAGGGACUAAUUGCUUAUAUGUGUCUCUCACGAAGUUUGGAGAUAAUGCUCUCCUCUGAUCACACAGUUGUUACUUACUACCUAUGUGACCUUUGGUAAAGUAUUUCACUUGGGUGUUAAUUUCCUUAUCUGCAAAAUGGGAAUAAUCAUGUAUCUAGUUUUUGUGGUUGUGAAGAGCAAAUGAAUUAUGCAUUUAUAUUAAUAAAAUAUUAAGCACCUGUGUAACACAUGUGAAGUGAAACAUAUGUAUUUAUUUUUAAUGAUAAUAAACAAUUAAUGGCAACUUUGACCAA
RNAcentral lists this long non-coding RNA (564 nucleotides) under Homo sapiens (human). RNAcentral describes it as "lncAB534.1". Lineage: Eukaryota; Metazoa; Chordata; Mammalia; Primates; Hominidae. The record is from RNAcentral.